This 84-nucleotide transfer RNA is filed under the name Gemmatimonadota bacterium. Its description in RNAcentral is "tRNA-Leu". It matches the Rfam family "tRNA". Rfam says of the family: Transfer RNA (tRNA) molecules are approximately 80 nucleotides in length. Their secondary structure includes four short double-helical elements and three loops (D, anti-codon, and T loops). The record is from RNAcentral. Lineage: Bacteria; Pseudomonadati; Gemmatimonadota.
GCUCGGAUGGCGGAACUGGUAGACGCGCUAGAUUCAGGAUCUAGUGGGUGCAAGCCCGUGGAGGUUCGAGUCCUCUUCCGAGCA